ACGGAUAAGGGCAAACUUGUCGAAAGGCAAGGACGCAAAGCCAUGGGUCUUCGGAUGGUUAUUCACCGUCACAGAUCGCCAGGCUGCAGGAG
This 92-nucleotide non-coding RNA is filed under the name Tumebacillus algifaecis. Its description in RNAcentral is "c-di-GMP sequence". It matches the Rfam family "c-di-GMP-I-GGC riboswitch aptamer". The record is from Rfam by way of RNAcentral. Lineage: Bacteria; Bacillati; Bacillota; Bacilli; Caryophanales; Alicyclobacillaceae.